UUGACUCAAGGUUGUCGGACUAUAGCAUAUUUUGUGGUUAACAAAGAGAGUUGGAAGACUUCCAUACAGUAAAAGUAAGAUAACAAGACAAAUAGCAUGUAAUGUUGUACCAUUAGCUUUUCUGUGGAUCGUACGCAGGGAAAAAAAUAGGAGAGAGUUUGAGGGUGUUGGAGAUAAUUUUGCACAUUUGAGGAAUAGUUUAUUGUCUUUGAUUGCUUUUUCGUGCACUCGUAAUUUUCCUAUUCGUAUUGAUGACUGGGUGUCUUUGGUAAAAAUUAAAGAAUCAUAUUUUGAUAUAGAUUCUCUACUUUGUUGUGUACCUCUUCUAAAGUUAAUGGGAAAAGAAAAAGAGAAGCUUUAGAAUGGGAAGAUAAAAAAUCUAUGAGAAUCUAACAUUGGUGUUGAUUAAUUGAAAUACUACCUCUUUUUAUCAUUGGCUAAUUAUGAUGAGUGUCUUAGGGUUUAGGGUGAAGUUGUGGAGCUGAGCUGUCUUUUUUGUCAUAUCUGUUCCUUCUUCCACCUUUGAGUUGGGAAUUUAAACUACAACUGUGGAGAGGGUUUUAUUAGUUUUUACUUUUAUAUUUUUACUUCAUCAAAAAUUUUGGAGGUUGACAGUACCAAUGGAACUCCCUUAUUCCCACUCUGAUUAUCUGUGGAAACCAUUACAUCACUUUUUCUUUUUAACAGUUUACCUUGAUGAGAAACUUCUAAGCCAUCAUCCUAGAAAACUAAAUAGUACCUUACCAAACCCAAAAGAAGUAGAAUAAUGAAGGCUCUCGAUACUCCAUGACUGAAGAAAAAUUAAAAGUGAGGUUGGACAUGUAUAAUAUAUGCUGAAACUUCCUUCUCUUCUGUUACCAAGUUGAGAGCGGAUAUUUUUUCUUACGAUUACUGUUCAAGUGGUUGAAUAAAAUCCAGGAAUUAUAGCAAUACAUUACCAAAAAUAAAGCUCCUUGAAUAUGGUCUGCUUAGUCCAUUGUCUUUCUUUUUAUUUGAAUCACAUAGCAUACCAAGAAAUAUUUUCUUCCGAAUGUGGCUUUACAUGUGUUAUGUACUGUUCUUUCUUUUUCUAAGUUCUAUACCAUUUUGUUGCCAUUCUUCCAUCUAGGUAAUCGUUUUUUCCUUGUUUUACAUCUAUUUUCAUGUGUUUUCAUUCAGUGUACUUAGAUUUUCGGUUCAAAAAGGUUUUCUUGCCGGAGGAUAAAUUUGAAUUUCUGUUUGUUUCAACUGGAGCUACACUUUCUGUUUGUGAUUUAGACAUAGCUUCCGUUGAUAUAAUUAGAAUCUCUUAUUUUUGAUGAUGUGGUUUGUGCAGGAACUCUACCGAGCAGAGAGCUUCUAAUGUACAGAAGGUCAGCUGAGAAAUUAGUCAAUGCCUUUUGACAUGUUUAGUCGAUAUAUUCUGUCUUGUACUGACUCUCACAUAGCAAAAAAUGCUCUUCUUGGUUGUUUUGAAGUGUCCAGAUUGUACUAAUUCUUUUGAGAGAAAUAAU
Molecule: long non-coding RNA, 1493 nt
Filed under: Nicotiana tabacum (common tobacco)
Lineage: Eukaryota; Viridiplantae; Streptophyta; Magnoliopsida; Solanales; Solanaceae
Description: long non-coding RNA (NTAB_LNC005059)
Source: RNAcentral